RNAcentral lists this ribosomal RNA (253 nucleotides) under uncultured bacterium. RNAcentral's name for it is "partial 16S ribosomal RNA". It matches the Rfam family "Bacterial small subunit ribosomal RNA", at positions 524 to 776 of the family's 1533-position model. The record is from RNAcentral.
UACAGAGGUCCCAAGCGUUGUUCGGAUUCACUGGGCGUAAAGGGUGCGUAGGUGGCGAGGUAAGUCGGAUGUGAAAUCUCCAAGCUCAACUUGGAAAUGGCAUUGGAAACUACCUGGCUAGAGGUUUGGAGGGGGGACUGGAAUUCUCGGUGUAGCAGUGAAAUGCGUAGAGAUCAUGAGGAAGACCAGUGGCGAAGGCGGGUCUCUGGACAGUUCCUGACACUGAGACACGAAGGCCAGGGGAGCAAACGGG